This 562-nucleotide ribosomal RNA is filed under the name uncultured bacterium. Its description in RNAcentral is "bacterial SSU rRNA". It matches the Rfam family "Bacterial small subunit ribosomal RNA", at positions 338 to 916 of the family's 1533-position model. The record is from RNAcentral.
CCUACGGGAGGCAGCAGUAGGGAAUUUUGCACAAUGGGCGGAAGCCUGAUGCAGCGACGCCGCGUGGAGGAUGAAGGCCUUCGGGUUGUAAACUCCUUUUGUAGGGGACGAUGGUGACGGUACCCUACGAAUAAGCCACGGCUAACUCUGUGCCAGCAGCCGCGGUAAGACAGAGGUGGCGAGCGUUGUUCGGAAUUACUGGGCGUAAAGCGCGUGUAGGCGGAUUGGCGUGUCGGAUGUGAAAGCCCUGGGCUUAACCCAGGAAUUGCGUCCGAAACUGCUUUUCUUGAGUCCGGGAGAGGGGAGUGGAAUUCUCGGUGUAGAGGUGAAAUUCGUAGAUAUCGAGAGGAACACCGGUGGCGAAGGCGGCUCCCUGGACCGGAACUGACGCUGAGACGCGAAAGCGUGGGGAGCAAACAGGAUUAGAUACCCUGGUAGUCCACGCUGUAAACGAUGGGCACUAGAUGUUGCGGGUAUUGACCCCUGCAGUGUCGUAGCUAACGCGUUAAGUGCCCCGCCUAGGGAUUACGGCCGCAAGGUUAAAACUCAAAGGAAUUGACGG